RNAcentral lists this ribosomal RNA (457 nucleotides) under Halohasta litorea. Its description in RNAcentral is "bacterial SSU rRNA". It matches the Rfam family "Archaeal small subunit ribosomal RNA", at positions 72 to 527 of the family's 1478-position model. Lineage: Archaea; Methanobacteriati; Methanobacteriota; Halobacteria; Halobacteriales; Haloferacaceae. The record is from RNAcentral.
AGACUCGUGGCAGAUAGCUCAGUAACACGUGGCCAAGCUACCCUUCAGACCAGAAUAACCUCGGGAAACUGAGGCUAAGACUGGAUACGGUAUGCACGCUGGAAUGCAGCAUACUCCAAACGUUCCGACGCUGAAGGAUGCGGCUGCGGCCGAUUAGGUAGACGGUGGGGUAACGGCCCACCGUGCCAAUAAUUGGUACGGGUGAUGAGAGUCAGAGCCCGGAGACGGAAUCUGAGACAAGAUUCCGGGCCCUACGGGGCGCAGCAGGCGCGAAACCUUUACACUGCACGCAAGUGCGAUAGGGGAAUCCCAAGUGCGAGAGCAUACUAGCUCUCGCUUUUGUUGACUGUAAGGAGGUCAACGAAUAAGAGCUGGGCAAGACCGGUGCCAGCCGCCGCGGUAAUACCGGCAGCUCGAGUGAUGUCCAAUUUUAUUGGGCCUAAAGCGUCCGUAGCUG